This 228-nucleotide long non-coding RNA is filed under the name Mytilus galloprovincialis (Mediterranean mussel). Lineage: Eukaryota; Metazoa; Mollusca; Bivalvia; Mytilida; Mytilidae. The record is from RNAcentral.
UUAAAAAACAACCAUGCAAAACCCUCACAUGUAGUCAAGAUGGGAAAACCUUUAUCCUCAAUAUAUACAUUUUUUUUUUAUCGUAGUGUGAUUGUUUGAUAUCAAAAUUUGGCAAAUCAUUGAGUCAAUAAGCCACAACUAAAGGUGCAGAGCCUUAAUAACCAUCAUUAAAAUGAGAAAUGACAAUUUCUUAAAAUACAAUUGCAAAUCAAAUUUCAGAAGUUUUUC